CCUACGGGAGGCAGCAGUAAGGAAUAUUGGUCAAUGGAGGCAACUCUGAACCAGCCAUGCCGCGUGCAGGAUGAAGGCCCUAUGGGUCGUAAACUGCUUUUACACAAGAGAAAACCCCGGUACGUGUACCGGGUUGAUAGUAUUGUGAGAAUAAGCAUCGGCUAACUUCGUGCCAGCAGCCGCGGUAAGACGAAGGAUGCAAGCGUUAUCCGGAUUCAUUGGGUUUAAAGGGUGCGUAGGCGGACUUGUAAGUCAGUGGUGAAAUCUCUUUGCUUAACAAAGAAACUGCCAUUGAUACUGCAGGUCUAGAGUAUAGAUGACGUUGGCGGAAUAUGACAUGUAGUGGUGAAAUACUUAGAUAUGUCAUAGAACACCGAUUGCGAAGGCAGCUAACGAAACUAUAACUGACGCUGAGGCACGAAAGUGCGGGGAUCAAACAGGAUUAGAUACCCUGGUAGUCCGCACCGUAAACGAUGAUUACUCGUUGUUGGCAAUAUGACCGUCAGCGACCAAGCGAAAGCGAUAAGUAAUCCACCUGGGGAGUACGCCGGCACGGUGAAACGUCAAAUGAAUUGACCGGNGNGAGACGAGCGAGGACGACGACGAGGGAGGAGG
This 615-nucleotide ribosomal RNA is filed under the name uncultured bacterium. RNAcentral describes it as "bacterial SSU rRNA". It matches the Rfam family "Bacterial small subunit ribosomal RNA", at positions 338 to 953 of the family's 1533-position model. The record is from RNAcentral.